CCUACGUGUGGCAGCAGUGAGGAAUAUUGGUCAAUGGGCGCGAGCCUGAACCAGCCAAGUAGCGUGAAGGAUGACUGCCCUACGGGUUGUAAACUUCUUUUAUAAAGGAAUAAAGUGAGGCACGUGUGCCUUUUUGUAUGUACUUUAUGAAUAAGGAUCGGCUAACUCCGUGCCAGCAGCCGCGGUAAUACGGGGGAUCCGAGCGUUAUCCGGGUUUAUUGGGUUUAAAGGGAGCGUAGAUGGGUUGUUAAGUCAGUUGUGAAAGUUUGCGGCUCAUCCGUAAAAUUGCAAUUGAAACUGGCAGUCUUGAGUACAGUUGAGGUAGGCGGAAUUCGUGGUGUAGCGGUGAAAUGCUUAGAUAUCACGCAGAACUCCGAUUGCGAAGGCAGCUUACUAAACUGCCACUGACAUUGAUGCUCGAAAGUGUGGGUAUCAAACAGGAUUAGAUACCCGGGUAGUC
This 460-nucleotide ribosomal RNA is filed under the name uncultured bacterium. RNAcentral's name for it is "partial 16S ribosomal RNA". It matches the Rfam family "Bacterial small subunit ribosomal RNA", at positions 338 to 795 of the family's 1533-position model. The record is from RNAcentral.